AGCUCUAAUAGGCUGAGAAAGCAAUCAUCUACCUGGUUCUAUCUUAUUUAAGCAAGCAAUUUUGGAGGAUUGUAUGAGGCACGCAAAGGAUGAGUUAAAGAGAGAUGUUCUUGGGUGUUAAGGAAAUGGUUGAAUGGAGCAUUGUCUCUAUUGUUCCAACUGGUGCCAUUGUUUGAUGGGAGAAAGCCCAGGGACAUGAAAAGAAAGAAGUCCACUGCCUUGAUCGUCUGAGCAAGUCAGAAGACACCUGGGGACUAGAUGGUGAAAUAAACACACUCCUUAGUGUUGGUCUCAAUCAGCGAGCGCUGGAAAGGACACCCAGGAGACUAAGAUACUCGGUGGUGCACAUAGAGGUAGCUCCCUACUGCCUCCUUGAUCGUCACGGAAGCACACCAGAAGUUUUGUCUUAGCAGCCCACGCAGAGUGAAGAAUCCUCCAGUGCAGCAGAAAACGGAGACAGCCACAGCUCUGUGGAAGGCAUUGGGCAAUCAGCAGGGGAGGGCACCAGCCAUAUUGGAGAUUUGGCAGCUUCAGCAAAGCACAACAUGAGCACAGCUUGACUUCAGACGACAUUGAUAAAAGAUGUCAUCAGAGGCAGCAUCAGUGAAACUGCACAUUCACCAGACUUCACAGAGAUUGGAAGCUU
This is a long non-coding RNA of Equus asinus (donkey), 646 nucleotides long. The record is from Ensembl. Lineage: Eukaryota; Metazoa; Chordata; Mammalia; Perissodactyla; Equidae.